AGAGCGAACGCUGGCGGCAGGCCUAAUACAUGCAAGUCGAACGGAUCCUUCGGGAUUAGUGGCGGACGGGUGAGUAACACGUGGGAACGUACCCUUUGGUUCGGAACAACUCAGGGAAACUUGAGCUAAUACCGAAUGUGCCCUUCGGGGAAAGAUUUAUCGCCAUUGGAGCGGCCCGCGUCUGAUUAGCUAGUUGGUAGGGUAAAGGCCUACCAAGGCUACGAUCAGUAGCUGGUCUGAGAGGAUGAUCAGCCACACUGGGACUGAGACACGGCCCAGACUCCUACGGGAGGCAGCAGUAGGGAAUCUUGCGCAAUGGGCGAAAGCCUGACGCAGCCAUGCCGCGUGAAUGAUGAAGGUCUUAGGAUUGUAAAAUUCUUUCAGCGGGGACGAUAAUGACGGUACCCGCAGAAGAAGCCCCGGCUAACUUCGCGCCAGCAGCCGC
This 445-nucleotide ribosomal RNA is filed under the name uncultured bacterium. RNAcentral describes it as "SSU rRNA". It matches the Rfam family "Bacterial small subunit ribosomal RNA", at positions 26 to 518 of the family's 1533-position model. The record is from RNAcentral.